UACGGAGGGUGCGAGCGUUAUUCGGAAUUACUGGGCGUAAAGCGCGUGUAGGCGGGGAAGCAAGUCUGAUGUGAAAGCCCCGGGCUUAACCUGGGAAGUGCAUUGGAAACUGUUUUUCUUGAGUACUGGAGAGGAAGGGAGAAUUCCCGGUGUAGAGGUGAAAUUCGUAGAGAUCGGGAGGAACACCAGUGGCGAAGGCGCCCUUCUGGACGGUUACUGACGCUGAGACGCGAGAGCGUGGGGAGCAAACAGG
Molecule: ribosomal RNA, 253 nt
Filed under: uncultured bacterium
Lineage: Bacteria
Description: partial 16S ribosomal RNA
Rfam family: Bacterial small subunit ribosomal RNA
Source: RNAcentral